AGAGUUUGAUCCUGGCUCAGGACGAACGCUGGCGGCGUGCUUAACACAUGCAAGUCGAACGGAAAGGCCCCUUCGGGGGUGCUCGAGUGGCGAACGGGUGAGUAACACGUGGGUGAUCUGCCCUGCACUUCGGGAUAAGCUUGGGAAACUGGGUCUAAUACCGGAUAGGACCACGGCCUGCAUGGGUUGUGGUGGAAAGCUUUUGCGGUGUGGGAUGGGCCCGCGGCCUAUCAGCUUGUUGGUGGGGUGAUGGCCUACCAAGGCGACGACGGGUAGCCGGCCUGAGAGGGUGUCCGGCCACACUGGGACUGAGAUACGGCCCAGACUCCUACGGGAGGCAGCAGUGGGGAAUAUUGCACAAUGGGCGCAAGCCUGAUGCAGCGACGCCGCGUGGGGGAUGACGGCCUUCGGGUUGUAAACCUCUUUCACCAUCGACGA
Molecule: ribosomal RNA, 438 nt
Filed under: uncultured bacterium
Lineage: Bacteria
Description: bacterial SSU rRNA
Rfam family: Bacterial small subunit ribosomal RNA
Source: RNAcentral